UGAUAUUAUUAUGCUGGUGCAGGAGAUAAGCUAGACUGCCACACAAAGAAAUUCCAAAAUGUAGGUGAAACAUGAUGAUCUAAUGCAAGGGAAAAAUAAAAUACAUGCAGAGAAUAAAACAAAUAUAGUCAGUCAAAUAUAGUCAGUAUAAUAAAUGUGAUCAGCCUAACACCGUAAAAAUACAACCAGCCUGUAAAUAGUUGUUAAGUAUACUGAUUAAGUAAACCUUUAAUGUACAUCACUUCAGCUUGUCAAAUUCCUAAUGGUAUAAAUCCAUCAUGUUACUCCUCCUCCAAGCUCACUGGGACAACUAGGAAUUUAUAGAGUAAUUAAAAUGCAUCUCAUUAUACUUAACCAUCUUUUUUUUUUUUUUCUAAAUAUAUAUAAGGCACUGAUAUUUAUUGCAUAAUUUCCUUAAUCCCUUUUUCAGCAGAUAUUGUCCACUAAGUAUCAGGUAUUCUUUCUUAUUCCAUUAUACCUGUUUUAGGAUUAUAGUAGAGUAUCUGGAGGAAAAAGAAUUGAUCAUAAAUGUGGACCUGAUUUACAGAUAGAAGGAUGCUUUUGAAUUCAUGUUAUUGUGUUUGACAGCUUCUAGCUUCCCUGGGCAUUAGUAAUAGAAAGCCAUUGACAAGAGACAUUCAACAGCAAAACAGUAAGCUGGCCAAUAAAGUAGACAUAAUUGCACUAAAUCUUUUUUUUUUUUUUUUUUUUUUUUCAGAUCAAGAAUCUUUCCUGAGGAUGGGCUUUCAGCUCCUGAAGAUGGUGAGCAGGAAUGUGCAUACUGUUUGUCACAGUCUUGGAAGAAGAAAAUGCAUGUCAAGCAAGAUAACUGACACAGAAUAAUGAGACCUCAGACUAGAAAAAACACAUUCUCCCCUUUCCUUCUGUUUCUCUCCUCUCCCUUCCUCCUUCUCGCAGCUGUCACUUAAACUAUUGAUUAUAAUAAGGUAUUAUGUUUCAUCACAUUUGACCAAACAUUCAAAUAAAGCAGAAUUGGUUGGACUUGGUACUUGGGGA
This 1017-nucleotide long non-coding RNA is filed under the name Anser cygnoides (Swan goose). Its description in RNAcentral is "lncRNA (ENSACDG00005017623.1)". Lineage: Eukaryota; Metazoa; Chordata; Aves; Anseriformes; Anatidae. The record is from RNAcentral.